CCUACGGGAGGCAGCAGUGAGGAAUAUUGGUCAAUGGACGAGAGUCUGAACCAGCCAAGUAGCGUGAAGGAUGACUGCCCUAUGGGUUGUAAACUUCUUUUAUAUGGGAAUAAAAUGUUCCACGUGUGGGAUUUUGUAUGUACCAUAUGAAUAAGGAUCGGCUAACUCCGUGCCAGCAGCCGCGGUAAUCCGGAGGAUCCGAGCGUUAUCCGGAUUUAUUGGGUUUAAAGGGAGCGUAGGUGGAUUGUUAAGUCAGUUGUGAAAGUUUGCGGCUCAACCGGAAAAUUGCAGUUGAAACUGGCAGUCUUGAGUAUAGUAGAGGUGGGCGGAAUUCGUGGUGUAGCGGUGAAAUGCUUAGAUAUCACGAAGAACUCCGAUUGCGAAGGCAGUUCACUGGACGGCAACUGACACUGAGGCGCGAAAGUGUGGGUAUCAAACAGGAUUAGAUACCCCUGAAGUC
RNAcentral lists this ribosomal RNA (460 nucleotides) under uncultured bacterium. RNAcentral's name for it is "partial 16S ribosomal RNA". It matches the Rfam family "Bacterial small subunit ribosomal RNA", at positions 338 to 795 of the family's 1533-position model. The record is from RNAcentral.